AGUCGUACGCUUCUUUUUCCACCGGAGCUUGCUCCACCGGAAAAAGAAGAGUGGCGAACGGGUGAGUAACACGUGGGUAACCUGCCCAUCAGAAGGGGAUAACACUUGGAAACAGGUGCUAAUACCGUAUAACAAUCGAAACCGCAUGGUUUUGAUUUGAAAGGCGCUUUCGGGUGUCGCUGAUGGAUGGACCCGCGGUGCAUUAGCUAGUUGGUGAGGUAACGGCUCACCAAGGCCACGAUGCAUAGCCGACCUGAGAGGGUGAUCGGCCACAUUGGGACUGAGACACGGCCCAAACUCCUACGGGAGGCAGCAGUAGGGAAUCUUCGGCAAUGGACGAAAGUCUGACCGAGCAACGCCGCGUGAGUGAAGAAGGUUUUCGGAUCGUAAAACUCUGUUGUUAGAGAAGAACAAGGAUGAGAGUAACUGUUCAUCCCUUGACGGUAUCUAACCAGAAAGCCACGGCUAACUACGUGCCAGCAGCCGCGGUAAUACGUAGGUGGCAAGCGUUGUCCGGAUUUAUUGGGCGUAAAGCGAGCGCAGGCGGUUUCUUAAGUCUGAUGUGAAAGCCCCCGGCUCAACCGGGGAGGGUCAUUGGAAACUGGGAGACUUGAGUGCAGAAGAGGAGAGUGGAAUUCCAUGUGUAGCGGUGAAAUGCGUAGAUAUAUGGAGGAACACCAGUGGCGAAGGCGGCUCUCUGGUCUGUAACUGACGCUGAGGCUCGAAAGCGUGGGGAGCAAACAGGAUUAGAUACCCUGGUAGUCCACGCCGUAAACGAUGAGUGCUAAGUGUUGGAGGGUUUCCGCCCUUCAGUGCUGCAGCUAACGCAUUAAGCACUCCGCCUGGGGAGUACGACCGCAAGGUUGAAACUCAAAGGAAUUGACGGGGGCCCGCACAAGCGGUGGAGCAUGUGGUUUAAUUCGAAGCAACGCGAAGAACCUUACCAGGUCUUGACAUCCUUUGACCACUCUAGAGAUAGAGCUUCCCCUUCGGGGGCAAAGUGACAGGUGGUGCAUGGUUGUCGUCAGCUCGUGUCGUGAGAUGUUGGGUUAAGUCCCGCAACGAGCGCAACCCUUAUUGUUAGUUGCCAUCAUUUAGUUGGGCACUCUAGCAAGACUGCCGGUGACAAACCGGAGGAAGGUGGGGAUGACGUCAAAUCAUCAUGCCCCUUAUGACCUGGGCUACACACGUGCUACAAUGGGAAGUACAACGAGUCGCGAAGUCGCGAGGCUAAGCUAAUCUCUUAAAGCUUCUCUCAGUUCGGAUUGUAGGCUGCAACUCGCCUACAUGAAGCCGGAAUCGCUAGUAAUCGCGGAUCAGCACGCCGCGGUGAAUACGUUCCCGGGCCUUGUACACACCGCCCGUCACACCACGAGAGUUUGUAACACCCGAAGUCGGUGAGGUAACCUU
This 1410-nucleotide ribosomal RNA is filed under the name Enterococcus durans. RNAcentral describes it as "bacterial SSU rRNA". It matches the Rfam family "Bacterial small subunit ribosomal RNA". The record is from RNAcentral. Lineage: Bacteria; Bacillati; Bacillota; Bacilli; Lactobacillales; Enterococcaceae.